GAUGAACGCUGGCGGCGUGCCUAAUACAUGCAAGUCGAACGCAUUGAGAGAAGUGCUUGCACUUUUCAAUUUGAGUGGCGAACGGGUGAGUAACACGUGGGCAACCUACCUGAUAGCGGGGGAUAACGAGUGGAAACAUUCGCUAAUACCGCAUAACAAUAGAGAAGGCAUCUUCUUUAUUUAAAAGGCGCUUUCAAGCGUCACUAUCAGAUGGGCCCGCGGUGCAUUAGUUAGUUGGUAGAGUGAAGGCCUACCAAGACGAUGAUGCAUAGACGAGUUAGGAGACUGAUAGGCAACAUUGGGACUGAGACACUGCCCAAGCUCCUACGGGCGGCGGAAGUAGGGAAUCGUCCAGAAUGGAGGAAAGGCUGAUGGGGCAACGCCGCGUGUGUGAUGAAGGCUUUCAGGUCGUAAAGCACUGUUGUAUGGGAAGAAAUGCUAGGCUAGGAAAUGAGCUUAGUUUGACGGUACCAUACCAGAAAGGGACGGCUAAAUACGUGCCAGCCGCCGCCGUAA
Molecule: ribosomal RNA, 516 nt
Filed under: uncultured bacterium
Lineage: Bacteria
Description: partial 16S ribosomal RNA
Rfam family: Bacterial small subunit ribosomal RNA
Source: RNAcentral